This 235-nucleotide ribosomal RNA is filed under the name uncultured bacterium. Its description in RNAcentral is "partial 16S ribosomal RNA". It matches the Rfam family "Bacterial small subunit ribosomal RNA", at positions 99 to 334 of the family's 1533-position model. The record is from RNAcentral.
CGGACGGGUGAGUAACGCGUGGGUAACCUGCCUCAUACAGGGGGAUAACAGUUAGAAAUGACUGCUAAUACCGCAUAAGACCACAGGAUCGCAUGAUCCGGUGGUAAAAACUCCGGUGGUAUGAGAUGGACCCGCGUCUGAUUAGCUAGUUGGUGGGGUAACGGCUCACCAAGGCGACGAUCAGUAGCCGACCUGAGAGGGUGACCGGCCACAUUGGGACUGAGACACGGCCCAA